GCGGAUGUAGCUCAGUUGGCUAGAGCAUCUGCUUGCCAUGCAGAAGGUCACGGGUUCGAGUCCCGUUAUCCGCUCCA
Molecule: transfer RNA, 77 nt
Filed under: Pseudomonadota bacterium
Lineage: Bacteria; Pseudomonadati; Pseudomonadota
Description: Proteobacteria bacterium tRNA-Gly
Rfam family: tRNA
About the family: Transfer RNA (tRNA) molecules are approximately 80 nucleotides in length. Their secondary structure includes four short double-helical elements and three loops (D, anti-codon, and T loops).
Source: RNAcentral